Mastomys coucha (southern multimammate mouse) is the source of this 120-nucleotide long non-coding RNA. RefSeq lists it as uncharacterized. The transcript has 2 exons. NCBI's taxonomy places the organism in Eukaryota, Metazoa, Chordata, Mammalia, Rodentia, Muridae. The record is from RefSeq and is a predicted model, not a curated record.
CAGAGCCAUCAGUCCCACCAUGUGUACUCCUUGGUUGAUGGUAACAUUCCAUCACUAGGGGAACUCAAUGAAGGAUUCAAGAAUGGCAGGAACCUGGGGACAGGAGCUGAUACAGAAGGU